RNAcentral lists this ribosomal RNA (462 nucleotides) under Vibrio harveyi. Its description in RNAcentral is "bacterial SSU rRNA". It matches the Rfam family "Bacterial small subunit ribosomal RNA", at positions 62 to 503 of the family's 1533-position model. Lineage: Bacteria; Pseudomonadati; Pseudomonadota; Gammaproteobacteria; Vibrionales; Vibrionaceae. The record is from RNAcentral.
UCGAGCGGAAACGAGUUAUCUGAACCUUCGGGGAACGAUAACGGCGUCGAGCGGCGGACGGGUGAGUAAUGCCUAGGAAAUUGCCCUGAUGUGGGGGAUAACCAUUGGAAACGAUGGCUAAUACCGCAUAAUACCUACGGGUCAAAGAGGGGGACCUUCGGGCCUCUCGCGUCAGGAUAUGCCUAGGUGGGAUUAGCUAGUUGGUGAGGUAAUGGCUCACCAAGGCGACGAUCCCUAGCUGGUCUGAGAGGAUGAUCAGCCACACUGGAACUGAGACACGGUCCAGACUCCUACGGGAGGCAGCAGUGGGGAAUAUUGCACAAUGGGCGCAAGCCUGAUGCAGCCAUGCCGCGUGUGUGAAGAAGGCCUUCGGGUUGUAAAGCACUUUCAGUCGUGAGGAAGGUAGUGUAGUUAAUAGCUGCAUUAUUUGACGUUAGCGACAGAAGAAGCACCGGCUAACUC